This 26-nucleotide non-coding RNA is filed under the name Homo sapiens (human). Lineage: Eukaryota; Metazoa; Chordata; Mammalia; Primates; Hominidae. The record is from RNAcentral.
UGCCUUGGUCUACUCCUGCUAUGUAG